UACGUAGGGGGCAAGCGUUGUCCGGAAUCAUUGGGCGUAAAGCGCGUGUAGGCGGCCCGAUAAGUCCGCUGUGAAAGUCCAGGGCUCAACCCUGGAAUGCCGGUGGAUACUGUCGGGCUCGAGUCCGGAAGAGGCGAGUGGAAUUCCUGGUGUAGCGGUGAAAUGCGCAGAUAUCAGGAGGAACACCAAUGGCGAAGGCAGCUCGCUGGGACGGUACUGACGCUGAGACGCGAAAGCGUUGGGAGCAAACAGG
RNAcentral lists this ribosomal RNA (253 nucleotides) under uncultured bacterium. RNAcentral describes it as "partial 16S ribosomal RNA". It matches the Rfam family "Bacterial small subunit ribosomal RNA", at positions 524 to 776 of the family's 1533-position model. The record is from RNAcentral.